This 322-nucleotide unclassified non-coding RNA is filed under the name uncultured Clavariaceae. RNAcentral describes it as "sequence contains 5.8S rRNA gene". The stretch from base 1 to 54 matches the Rfam family "5.8S ribosomal RNA", at positions 102 to 154 of the family's 154-position model. Lineage: Eukaryota; Fungi; Basidiomycota; Agaricomycetes; Agaricales; Clavariaceae. The record is from RNAcentral.
GAACGCAUAUUGCGCCCUUUGGCUAUUCCGAAGGGCAUGCCUGUUUGAGUGUCAUGAAUAUGUCAACACAGACAAGUUUUUACACCACUUGCUCGGCGUGUUGGAUGUUGAAGGCUUGCUGGCGUCUUGUCAGCUCCUUUAAAAUUCAUUAGCAGGAACGAUGCAGAACCGGCUUCAGUUUGAUAAGAUGAACUGCUGCCAAGGAUGCGCACUUCUUUCCGGCUUCUAACUGUCCAGGGACCUGGACUGCCUCACUAGCGUAGGCAAGUUCACUUAUGACAACUUGGCCUCAAAUCAGGUAGGAUUACCCGCUGAACUUAAG